GUUUUAAUGCAUUAUGCCAAAGUAUAUUUUCACCAGGUAUAAGAAGAUCUUCAUGACUCACCAAUUUACAACCAGACCUUUCAUGAUCCAGAACCCAGACAAUGAGUUUUUGAAAGCAGCUCAAAUGCAAAGUCAAGAGACUGCCCUUGAACAACUUUGGAAGGCACUAUACCAAGUUCUUCUUACCACCCAUAGAGCAAUAAAACUUCACGGCUUGGAUCCACUCCUUUCAGCCCAGGAGGGCCCCUCCAGACUCGGGACUGUACACUCACCAGAGAUCUCAAGAAGAAAGAAUUCGACUCAGGAGCAUAAGACAGAGGAACGACCAAGGCAAGUUUCAGAGCAGGAGUGGAAGUUUAUUAAAAAGCUUUAGAGCAGUAAGGACAAAAAGGAAAGGAAAGAGAAGGAAAGACUUGGAAGAGGGCCAAGUGGGCGACUGGAGAAACCAGCUGAACCUCAGCCUGAUCUUGAUCUAACAAUCUGCCAAGUCCUUUUACUUUGCACCUGGAUCCAACUUUUCUCUGUCACCCUCAACAACAUCAAUCAUCAUCAUUAUCAUCAUCAUUACAAGAUUAACAACAGCAACUGCAUCAGUAACAACAGCAUCUGCAUCUAUCAUUUUUUUUCAUCUGUUACAAUGAAGUACGUCACCUAUCAUAAAUUAGUUCUACUGACCCUUAUAUUUCCAUCUCCCUUCACUUUUUGAAACACUAUUUUUCUUCUCAGUUAUCUCUAUUCUUCUGCACUAUCAAUCUUUCCUGAGUCGAUUGUAGCAAGCAAUAUAACAAUCCACUCAAAUAUUAUAAUACAUUAUAUAUAACGGUAAAAGAACAUGUUGUACUGUUCUUUUGAAAAUUUCAUAAGCAAAUGGGGAACAAAGUAAAGUUUACAAAUUUAAAAAGAAAAUAAAUUCUAAAGAUAAACUCAGGAAAUCCCACUGAGAGCCAGAAAACUUGAACAUUCAAUCUAAGGAAUAAUUUAUGCAUUGCAAUUUCAUCUUAUCUCAUUGUGGUAUUAUUAAUGCCUUGAAGAUACUUCUCUGCAGUUAUAUUACAGGAAACAGUGACAAGACUGUUAAGCUAUAAUCAUAAGUGUAAAACAAAUUUUUCUGAAGUCUUAAGGCAAUAAUAACUUGUAUAUCUAUAAAAUUACAAAAAAUUUACAAGUUGGUCAAUUUCAUUUAAUAUUAAUCCCAGAAAAAUAUCUCAAUUAUUUUUCAAAAUAGUGUACAUUACAUACCAGAAUUGUGCCUUUGAAAUAUAUUUGAACUCUUCCAAAGAAAAAAAUCCAAACUUAAUUAUGUCUUCUGAAGCUGAUUUUUGUCAUAUAACACAUGAUAUAAUAAGUUGGAAUAUAAUAUCCUCUAUUUCACAAGAUUGCUGCAAAAAUACAAUGAGAUAUACUGGUUUAUAUAUCUUUAAAAGAGAUAAUAUGUAAAGUGUCUUAUAGGGUUUCUGAAAUACAGCAUGUAUUUUAAAAUGU
Molecule: long non-coding RNA, 1482 nt
Organism: Pan troglodytes (chimpanzee)
Lineage: Eukaryota; Metazoa; Chordata; Mammalia; Primates; Hominidae
Exons: 3
Source: RefSeq, a predicted model, not a curated record